Molecule: ribosomal RNA, 723 nt
Filed under: Pseudomonas sp. B103T-4
Lineage: Bacteria; Pseudomonadati; Pseudomonadota; Gammaproteobacteria; Pseudomonadales; Pseudomonadaceae
Description: bacterial SSU rRNA
Rfam family: Bacterial small subunit ribosomal RNA
Source: RNAcentral
UGCAGUCGAGCGGUAGAGAGAAGCUUGCUUCUCUUGAGAGCGGCGGACGGGUGAGUAAUGCCUAGGAAUCUGCCUGGUAGUGGGGGAUAACGUUCGGAAACGGACGCUAAUACCGCAUACGUCCUACGGGAGAAAGCAGGGGACCUUCGGGCCUUGCGCUAUCAGAUGAGCCUAGGUCGGAUUAGCUAGUUGGUGGGGUAAUGGCUCACCAAGGCGACGAUCCGUAACUGGUCUGAGAGGAUGAUCAGUCACACUGGAACUGAGACACGGUCCAGACUCCUACGGGAGGCAGCAGUGGGGAAUAUUGGACAAUGGGCGAAAGCCUGAUCCAGCCAUGCCGCGUGUGUGAAGAAGGUCUUCGGAUUGUAAAGCACUUUAAGUUGGGAGGAAGGGCAGUUGCCUAAUACGUAACUGUUUUGACGUUACCGACAGAAUAAGCACCGGCUAACUCUGUGCCAGCAGCCGCGGUAAUACAGAGGGUGCAAGCGUUAAUCGGAAUUACUGGGCGUAAAGCGCGCGUAGGUGGUUUGUUAAGUUGGAUGUGAAAUCCCCGGGCUCAACCUGGGAACUGCAUUCAAAACUGACUGACUAGAGUAUGGUAGAGGGUGGUGGAAUUUCCUGUGUAGCGGUGAAAUGCGUAGAUAUAGGAAGGAACACCAGUGGCGAAGGCGACCACCUGGACUGAUACUGACACUGAGGUGCGAAAGCGUGGGGGAGCAAACA